Molecule: non-coding RNA, 65 nt
Filed under: Candidatus Vecturithrix granuli
Lineage: Bacteria; Candidatus Moduliflexota; Candidatus Vecturitrichia; Candidatus Vecturitrichales; Candidatus Vecturitrichaceae
Description: Bacterium UASB270 Fluoride sequence
Rfam family: Fluoride riboswitch aptamer (crcB RNA motif)
Source: Rfam by way of RNAcentral
GCCUUUCGAGGGGAUGGAGUUCCCCUGACAAAUGCCCGGCAAGGGCUGAUGACUCCUGCGAUGCG